Molecule: ribosomal RNA, 468 nt
Filed under: uncultured bacterium
Lineage: Bacteria
Description: partial 16S ribosomal RNA
Rfam family: Bacterial small subunit ribosomal RNA
Source: RNAcentral
GACGAACGCUGGCGGCGUGCUUAACACAUGCAAGUCGAACGGAAAGGCCCUGCUUUUGUGGGGUGCUCGAGUGGCGAACGGGUGAGUAACACGUGAGUAACCUGCCCUUGACUUUGGGAUAACUUCAGGAAACUGGGGCUAAUACCGGAUAGGAGCUCCUGCUGCAUGGUGGGGGUUGGAAAGUUUCGGCGGUUGGGGAUGGACUCGCGGCUUAUCAGCUUGUUGGUGGGGUAGUGGCUUACCAAGGCUUUGACGGGUAGCCGGCCUGAGAGGGUGACCGGGGACGAUGGGGGGGAGAUAGGGCCCGGAGGGCAAGGGGGGGCAGCAGUGGGGGAGAGUGGACGAUGGGCGGAAGCGUGGUACAGCAACUCCGCGUGCGGGAAGACGGCCUUCGGGUUGUAAGCCGAUUUCGCAUGUGACAACGCGUGAGUGACGGUAAUGGGUAAAGAAGCACCGGCUAACUACGUG